GCGUAGGGUACGUCGGCGGAUAGUACAAAAUAGAGUAAAAGACUGAGGAUGACCCUCUUUAAUCUGUAUUUAUUGGCUAUCUGAGUUUUCGGGGUGAUAUUUUGAAUUCCUUAAGUAAGGGUUAAAUUGUUAAUAUUGGAAGACAUUCGAAGGCGAAAGCAAUUAUCAACCGAGAUCUGACGCUAGGUACUAAAGUAUGGGUAUAAAGAGGAUUAGAGACCUCGUAGUCCAUACCGUAAACAAUGAGUGUUCAACGUCUUUUAACUUGAUUCAGCGGAUGGAAAAUCACUGAAUUAGGAGUUAAUGGGGGUUUAAAGCUAAGCGUGAAACACUCCGCCUGGGGAAUGUGGCCGCAAGGUUAAACUCAAAGGAAUUGACGGAGACUUGUACAAGG
RNAcentral lists this ribosomal RNA (394 nucleotides) under Diderma spumarioides. Its description in RNAcentral is "partial small subunit ribosomal RNA". It matches the Rfam family "Bacterial small subunit ribosomal RNA", at positions 558 to 930 of the family's 1533-position model. Lineage: Eukaryota; Evosea; Eumycetozoa; Physariida; Didymiaceae. The record is from RNAcentral.